This 642-nucleotide small RNA is filed under the name Malus domestica (apple). RNAcentral describes it as "sRNA MD08G0098400". Lineage: Eukaryota; Viridiplantae; Streptophyta; Magnoliopsida; Rosales; Rosaceae. The record is from RNAcentral.
AUGUUGGAGUAAAAUCCGGUUCUCACAAGGUUUUGUGGUCUCACAAUCAUUGUACGUUACUUGAGGAUCAAGUUAUAGGAUUAGGGAAUUAACUUGGACUUUACCGGUUGCAAAAGGAAUGUAAUAUUAAGUUGUUAUUCUUGCUAAAGGGGUUCCUAAUCCUGAUUGGUUAAGGAGAUAUAGACAUAUUCAGUUACCUAUUAGGUCUCAAUGAUGGGCUAAGCCUCUUAGGUUAAUAUGUCUAUAUAAGUGAAGGUCCCUGCGUUUGCUGAUAUGCGCAAUAUUCACAAACUCCCCAUACGGUUUGAUUGCUAAGGAUCAGUACAACGUAGAAGACUCUUUGCACACCAAGGUUUCACGCAUGGCGUCUCCAGGUUACUGUCAAUGCUUCUUUGAAUUUCAAUUCAAUCCAAGCUUUAACUAGGACCAACUAUAAAAAGUGGAAGCAAGACAUAGAGAUUAUUCUAGGUCUCAUGGACUUAGAUGUUGCUUUGAGAGAGGAAGAACCAGAUGUUCCUGAAGAGGACGACUCGACUAAGAUUAAAAAUAAGUAUGAAAAGUGGCAUAAGGCAAAUAGGAUGGCAAUUCUCAUUAUGAAAAGGGCAAUGUCUGACACUGUGAGAGGUGGUAUUGCUGAUACGG